This 16-nucleotide ribosomal RNA is filed under the name Xylella fastidiosa. Its description in RNAcentral is "partial 23S ribosomal RNA". Lineage: Bacteria; Pseudomonadati; Pseudomonadota; Gammaproteobacteria; Lysobacterales; Lysobacteraceae. The record is from RNAcentral.
GUCAAGCGAAUAAGCG